Molecule: unclassified non-coding RNA, 291 nt
Filed under: Hevea brasiliensis (rubber tree)
Lineage: Eukaryota; Viridiplantae; Streptophyta; Magnoliopsida; Malpighiales; Euphorbiaceae
Source: RNAcentral
GUCCUCUUCUUCCCCAGUCUCCAAUCACCAAGAAGCUAAGAGAACCAUCAGGUUUUAAUGGCUGCUGGAAACGUUGAAGCUCAGCUAAUGAAGAAACAGAGCAGAAAUAGAGGACGAUGGUUGCAAAAAGAAGAGGAAGGAUCCUGGAUUUGGUAGGUGGAGAAGCCAUGGUUAUGCAGUCAGGUGAAAAUGUGAAAGAAGUGAUUUUCCUGGAAGAAAAUUUAUGGGGAAGAUAAGAGUUAUUUUUGGUGAUGAAGGUUUGAAAAUUGGAGGGUGCAAGUACAAUACCCU